This 352-nucleotide long non-coding RNA is filed under the name Nicotiana tabacum (common tobacco). Its description in RNAcentral is "long non-coding RNA (NTAB_LNC001781)". The record is from RNAcentral. Lineage: Eukaryota; Viridiplantae; Streptophyta; Magnoliopsida; Solanales; Solanaceae.
CGCAAUACUUGAACAUACAUCUGGACCUUAUUCAAGUGCAACAUAUAUUGUGUCGAAGUAAACACAAGAUAUCGAAGUUUGGUACAAACAGAACAUAAAAAAAACAGUACACUUUAUAGCACAACAAACAAACGUAAUGUUUUUCUUGGUUUAGUAUGCAACUUGAAACGUUUUCCCAGUAGCGUUUUCAUCUUAGCUUCAUCACAUUGUAGGCUUUACAGUGAGACGAGAAGCGACCUUCUGACCACAAGACUUGUCAGCCUGCAAUGAAUCCGCGCAAAAGAUUAGUUUUCGUUUCCCGCUCUUAAUGUAAGGAUAAAGAAUCAUGCGAAAGAAGAAAAACUCAAACCUG